GACGAACGCUGGCGGCGUGCCUAAUACAUGCAAGUAGAACGCUGAAGGAGGAGCUUGCUUCUCUGGAUGAGUUGCGAACGGGUGAGUAACGCGUAGGUAACCUGCCUGGUAGCGGGGGAUAACUAUUGGAAACGAUAGCUAAUACCGCAUAAUAUUGACUAUUGCAUGAUAGUCAGUUGAAAGGUGCAACUGCACCACUACCAGAUGGACCUGCGUUGUAUUAGCUAGUUGGUGGGGUAACGGCUCACCAAGGCGACGAUACAUAGCCGACCAGAGAGGGGGAUCGGCCACACUGGGACUGAGACACGGCCCAGACUCCUACGGGAGGCAGCAGUAGGGAAUCUUCGGCAAUGGACGGAAGUCUGACCGAGCAACGCCGCGUGAGUGAAGAAGGUUUUCGGAUCGUAAAGCUCUGUUGUAAGAGAAGAACGAGUGUGAGAGUGGAAAGCUCACACUGUGACGGUAUCUUACCAGAAAGGGACGGCUAACUACGUG
This 495-nucleotide ribosomal RNA is filed under the name uncultured bacterium. RNAcentral's name for it is "partial 16S ribosomal RNA". It matches the Rfam family "Bacterial small subunit ribosomal RNA", at positions 28 to 507 of the family's 1533-position model. The record is from RNAcentral.